This 786-nucleotide ribosomal RNA is filed under the name uncultured Cladophora. RNAcentral describes it as "SSU rRNA". It matches the Rfam family "Eukaryotic small subunit ribosomal RNA", at positions 21 to 824 of the family's 1831-position model. Lineage: Eukaryota; Viridiplantae; Chlorophyta; Ulvophyceae; Cladophorales; Cladophoraceae. The record is from RNAcentral.
UCGUGAUAUGCUUGUCUCAAAGAUUAAGCCAUGCAUGUGUAGGUAUAACCCGUAUACCGGAAGACUGCGAAUGGCUCGGUAAAUCAGUUAUAGUUUAUUUGAUAGUGCAGCUACUCGGAUAACCGUAGUAACACUAGAGCUAAUACGUGCGUAAAUCCCGACUUUUGGAAGGGACGUAUUUAUUAGAUUUAUGGCUAACCGGGCUUGCCCGACCAGCGGUGAAUCAUGGUAACUUGACGGAUUGCAUGGCCUCCGUGCCGGCGACGUGUCAUUCAAGUUUCUGCCCCAUCAGGUUUCGACUGUAGUGUAUUGGACUACAGUGCCUAUAACGGGUAGCGGAGGAUUAGGGUUCGAUUCCGGAGAGGGAGCCUGAGAAACGGCUACCACAUCCAAGGAAGGCAGCAGGCGCGCAAAUUACCCAAUCCCAAUUCAGGGAGGUAGUGACAAGAAAUAGCAAUGCGGAGCUUCGUGUUCUGCAAUUGGAAUGAGCACAAUCUAAACCACUUAACGAGUAUCAAUUGGAGGGCAAGUCUGGUGCCAGCAGCCGCGGUAAUUCCGGCUCCAAUAGCGUAUAUGUAAGUUGUUGCGAUUAAAAAGCCCGUAGCUGAACCUCGGGUAGCCCUGACGGUCCGCCUAUGGUGAGUACUGUCGUGGGCUGCCUUUCUGCUGGGUGCCGUAUCCGGCGUUCACUCGCCGCGAACGGAGCCCAGCAGGGUUACUUUGAGUAAAAUAGAGUGUUCAAAAGCAGCAUGUGCUGUGGAUACACUAGCAUGGGAUAACACGACA